CCUACGGGGUGCAGCAGUGAGGAAUAUUGGUCAAUGGGUGCAAGCCUGAACCAGCCAUCCCGCGUGAAAGACGACUGCCCUAUGGGUUGUAAACUUCUUUUGUAUAGGGAUAAACCUACCCUCGUGAGGGUAGCUGAAGGUACUAUACGAAUAAGCACCGGCUAACUCCGUGCCAGCAGCCGCGGUAAUACGGAAGGUGCAAGCGUUAUCCGGAUUUAUUGGGUUUAAAGGGUCCGUAGGCGGACUUAUAAGUCAGUGGUGAAAGCCUGUCGCUUAACGAUAGAACUGCCAUUGAUACUGUAAGUCUUGAGUAUAUUUGAGGUAGCUGGAAUAAGUAGUGUAGCGGUGAAAUGCAUAGAUAUUACUUAGAACACCAAUUGCGAAGGCAGGUUACCAAGAUAUAACUGACGCUGAGGGACGAAAGCGUGGGGAGCGAACAGGAUUAGAUACCCGCGUAGUC
RNAcentral lists this ribosomal RNA (460 nucleotides) under uncultured bacterium. Its description in RNAcentral is "bacterial SSU rRNA". It matches the Rfam family "Bacterial small subunit ribosomal RNA", at positions 338 to 795 of the family's 1533-position model. The record is from RNAcentral.